Cebus imitator (Panamanian white-faced capuchin) is the source of this 516-nucleotide long non-coding RNA. RefSeq lists it as uncharacterized. The transcript has 4 exons. The record is from RefSeq and is a predicted model, not a curated record. Lineage: Eukaryota; Metazoa; Chordata; Mammalia; Primates; Cebidae.
UAUAAGGAUUGGGUUUUCAUCCCUAUGAGUGAGAUGCAGGCCCUCUAACAUUAUUACAUGUCAGCGCAUUACCCAACUGACAUGAGAAAAAGAAUUCUCCCUUGCUUCAAAACGCUUUGGCAAAUUCUCAUCUAUGUGGAAAACAAACACCAAGAGGAAGUAGAGACAAUGAGUGUGGACAACCCAUGUGAAAAGUUCAGGCUAAUGAGAUUGCUGCCCGUAGGAGAAAGGAUAAAAUCACAAGGUGGCGCCGUUGUCUCCAGAUGUCAAGGUCUUCUGGAUGGCAGGUACCCUUAAAAGAAUGCAGACAAACACUUCUAUGGAAAUUUAAAGGAGCAUAAGCCUUCUUCCAGUAUAGGGAGAGAACCAAGGAAGACUUCCUGAAGGAAGUGGCCUUUGAGUGGGCCUUGGAUCAUGUGGAGAUCAGGGCUGCUCCUCCACCUCCCUCCUCAGAAGGUGUUCGGUUCCUGGGUAAGCUGGUUUUCUGUUCUCCCUUCCCCACUCUUCUCUUGCCUG